AGGAAGUGUCCCGAUUAGCGUGAGCGAAUGAACAAACGCUUCGGAUUCCGUACUCUUAUAAAGUGUCUGAGCAGCUGUGAGGAAUGGUUGCUGCUUGAUUGUCUGUUUGUUUCAUCGUCAGAUUUCUUCUCUAAUCAGGCUGCGUUUAUCCUUCAUGUGCAAGUGUUGUGCAUUUAGUAAGAGGGUGAUCAGAUCUGCUCUUUGGCGGCUGGACUGUGGAUGUGCUGUUUGUUUGCCAUUUGAGUGUGGUAUUGUUGUGCAGGCCUGGUUAAACGGAGGGGAACUGCAUUUGGUCACUGCUGUCCUUCUUUACCCUUUAUUUCUGGGUUUUGUGAUUUAAUGUUUGUUUGGUUUUCUUUAUUUAAGGCACCCAUCAUGUUGUAUGGAUGCCGUGUUUAGCUGAUUGUUAAAAAGACUAUAGGGGCAUUGUUUGCAGAUAUUUUAUGGUAUGAUAACCAACUGAUUUUGUGCAUCUGUUCCUUUCCAGUGGAUCAUCUGGGAGCACUGGUUGGAUUGUGGGUGUUGGUCCUUUGAUGGUGGAAUCUGUGCUACGGUUUACACUGCAUGCUGUGUGAAUCUUAUGAAUUUACGGUGUGUGGCACUUUGCGUGCGUGUGUGUGGGUGUGCGCGUGCGUGUGUGUGUUUUCCUUUACAGGCACCAUUUUGGGUGAACCUUUUUGGGGUUAAAGUGGGCCUGCACCCGUGGCCUGUCAGUCUUCCUUUGUAUCCACUGGAAUGUGUGGUGUUAAUUGGUAAUUGUAACAGUUGGUAUCCUUUUAAUAUGAUUCAUGUUGUAGUUUUAAAUAAAAUAAGGUAUUAAUAAUAAGGGUUUAUAUUUUAACUGAUUCUGGAAGUGUUGAGGAGGUUAAUAAAAAUCCAACACUAAAAUAAGAAA
This is a long non-coding RNA of Silurus meridionalis, 895 nucleotides long. RefSeq lists it as uncharacterized. Lineage: Eukaryota; Metazoa; Chordata; Actinopteri; Siluriformes; Siluridae. The transcript has 2 exons. The record is from RefSeq and is a predicted model, not a curated record.